This 903-nucleotide ribosomal RNA is filed under the name uncultured Bacillota bacterium. RNAcentral's name for it is "bacterial SSU rRNA". It matches the Rfam family "Bacterial small subunit ribosomal RNA", at positions 1 to 917 of the family's 1533-position model. The record is from RNAcentral. Lineage: Bacteria; Bacillati; Bacillota.
UGGAUCCAGACUUUGAUUCUGGCUCAGGACGAACGCUGGCGGCGCGCCUAACACAUGCAAGUCGAACGAGAGAGAAGGAGCUUGCUUCUUCGAUCGAGUGGCGAACGGGUGAGUAACGCGUGAGGAACCUGCCUCAAAGAGGGGGACAACAGUUGGAAACGACUGCUAAUACCGCAUAAGCCCACGGGUCGGCAUCGACCAGAGGGAAAAGGAGCAAUCCGCUUUGAGAUGGCCUCGCGUCCGAUUAGCUAGUUGGUGAGGUAAUGGCCCACCAAGGCGACGAUCGGUAGCCGGACUGAGAGGUUGAACGGCCACAUUGGGACUGAGACACGGCCCAGACUCCUACGGGAGGCAGCAGUGGGGAAUAUUGCACAAUGGGGGAAACCCUGAUGCAGCGACGCCGCGUGGAGGAAGAAGGUCUUCGGAUCGUAAACUCCUGUUGUUGAGGAAGAUAAUGACGGUACUCAACAAGGAAGUGACGGCUAACUACGUGCCAGCAGCCGCGGUAAAACGUAGGUCACAAGCGUUGUCCGGAAUUACUGGGUGUAAAGGGAGCGCAGGCGGGAAGACAAGUUGGAAGUGAAAUCCAUGGGCUCAACCCAUGAACUGCUUUCAAAACUGUUUUUCUUGAGUAGUGCAGAGGUAGGCGGAAUUCCCGGUGUAGCGGUGGAAUGCGUAGAUAUCGGGAGGAACACCAGUGGCGAAGGCGGCCUACUGGGCACCAACUGACGCUGAGGCUCGAAAGUGUGGGUAGCAAACAGGAUUAGAUACCCUGGUAGUCCACACCGUAAACGAUGAUUACUAGGUGUUGGAGGAUUGACCCCUUCAGUGCCGCAGUUAACACAAUAAGUAAUCCACCUGGGGAGUACGACCGCAAGGUUGCAACUCAAAGGAAUUGACGGA